GACGAACGCUGGCGGCGUGCUUAACACAUGCAAGUCGAACGAUGAAAUGGAGCUUGCUCCAUGGAUUAGUGGCGAACGGGUGAGUAACACGUGAAUAACCUGCCCUUAAUUUUGGAAUAACCCAGGGAAACCUGGGCUAAUACCGGAUAAGUAAACCUGUGGCAUCACAUGGUUUUGGAAAGUUGUUCGAUUAAGGAUGGAUUCGCGGCCUAUCAGCUUGUUGGUGAGGUAAUGGCUCACCAAGGCGACGACGGGUAGCCGGCCUGAGAGGGGGAACGGCCACACUGGGACUGAGACACGGCCCAGACUCCUACGGGAGGCAGCAGUGGGGAAUAUUGCGCAAUGGACGAAAGUCUGACGCAGCGACGCCUCGUGAGGGACGAAGGUCUUCGGAUUGUAAACCUCUUUCAGCAGGGACGAAGCGAAAGUGACGGUACCUGCAGAAGAAGCACCGGCUAACUAUGUGCCAGCAGCCGCCGUAA
This 482-nucleotide ribosomal RNA is filed under the name uncultured bacterium. RNAcentral's name for it is "partial 16S ribosomal RNA". It matches the Rfam family "Bacterial small subunit ribosomal RNA", at positions 28 to 523 of the family's 1533-position model. The record is from RNAcentral.